UCUGGCUUAUAGCCCAGCGGUCUCGUUAGAGUGCCCAACUUAAUGAUGGUAACUAACGACGAGGGUUGCGCUCGUUGCGGGACUUAACCCAACAUCUCACAACACGAGCUGACGACAGCCAUGCAGCACCUGUCACCGCGUCCCGUGAGGGAACCCCUAGUUUCCUAGGGUAGCGCGGGAUGUCAAGCCUGGGUAAGGUUUUUCGCGUAGCAUCGAAUUAAACCACAUGCUCCACCGCUUGUGCGGGCCCCCGUCAAUUCCUUUGAGUUUUAAUCUUGCGACCGUAAUUCCCAGGCGGAGUACUUAAUGCGUUAGCUACGUCACCAAACUUAUUAGGAAGCCUGACGACUAGUACUCAUCGUUUAGGGCGUGGACUAC
This 378-nucleotide unclassified non-coding RNA is filed under the name uncultured delta proteobacterium. RNAcentral's name for it is "contains 16S-23S intergenic spacer region". The record is from RNAcentral. Lineage: Bacteria; Deltaproteobacteria.